GAUGAACGCUGACAGAAUGCUUAACACAUGCAAGUCUUUGGCGAAGCUGUGCUUGCACAGCCUAGCCAAGGCGGACGGGUGAGUAACGCGUAAGGAACUUGCCCUGCAGUCAGGGAUAACAGACGGAAACGACUGAUAGACCUGGUAAAGUCAGGCGGACUCAUGUCCAGCCUGAUGAAAAGUGAUGCUGCAGGAGAGCCUUGCGUCCUAUUAGCUUGUUGGUGGGGUAACGGCCCACCAAGGCGAUGAUAGGUAGCCGGCCUGAGAGGGUGGACGGCCACAAGGGGACUGAGAUACGGCCCUUACUCCUACGGGAGGCAGCAGUGGGGAAUAUUGGACAAUGGGGGCAACCCUGAUCCAGCAAUUCUGUGUGCACGAUGAAGGUUUUCGGAUUGUAAAGUGCUUUCAGCAGGGAAGAAAAAAAUGACGGUACCUGCAGAAGAAGCGACGGCUAAAUACGUG
RNAcentral lists this ribosomal RNA (462 nucleotides) under uncultured bacterium. RNAcentral describes it as "partial 16S ribosomal RNA". It matches the Rfam family "Bacterial small subunit ribosomal RNA", at positions 28 to 507 of the family's 1533-position model. The record is from RNAcentral.